This 1529-nucleotide long non-coding RNA is filed under the name Felis catus (domestic cat). Its description in RNAcentral is "lncRNA (ENSFCAG00000040870.2)". The record is from RNAcentral. Lineage: Eukaryota; Metazoa; Chordata; Mammalia; Carnivora; Felidae.
GGUCCAUGGUGCCCAUGUGACGGUUCCUCCAACACAUGCAGUCCUGUCCCCACUGCCAACUUCCUCGGAGGGAGCCAGCGCCUGGGCAUCAGUGCCAGUUGAAGAUCGUUGCAGACAUAUUAAAUCACAUGGAAACCCACCCACCUUUCACGUUAAAUAUCAUUUACAUGCGAGUUACCUUGUGGCUGGCCACGUGAUAGGCUGUUGCAGUUUGCACGCGUUUAAUUACAUGCUUGGUUUUAUUUUACGGUUUACUUUUCCGUUGCCUGAUCAAUUUUGUUUCAGGCCUCUAACAUUUUGUGGGCCAUUGCAAAGCUCACAUUCUCCGUGCCUGUGGAGCUUCAUGAUGCAAACAGCCAUGAUCAGACCUGUCCGGAUGGUCCAGGCUCGCCAAAUUCUAGAGCAAAGGUUUGGGAGCCAUCUGUCUUUGCCAGUCUGGACGGGCCUGCUGAUGGACAGCCCUCAGCCCAGCCACGGGAGCACAGCAGUAAAAGGACUUUGGAAAGUUUUGCCAACCUCGGGAAGCUGACUGAAUGCAUCGCCCCUGAAGCUGUGGUUUGGCUCAGGUAGCAGACAGCUCUCCUGAAUUCGGCUUCUGAGACACUUCCAUUGGAAGACCCGCUGUGGGGGCAAGCACUUGCCUUUUACCACUGUCCCCAUCGCUUGUUACUGCCUCUCCCUGAGCCUCUGUCUCCUGGCUGAGCCCUGAAGGUAUUAAUACUUAUGAAAACGGUUAGGGUCUGCUGACAAAUACUGGAACGAAGAGUAGACAUUGGAAAACAAAAUUCCUUCUUUCUAGCGUCUCUGCUUCGUAUCAGAUGUGCUCAGUCGUUCUUGGAAGUCUUGACCUCCUGCAUCGCCCAUCUGCACUGGGGAUCUUUAACCACAAGGCAGCUCAGGGCUUGCUGUAACCCAACGCUGCUGUCCCCGCCCUCCAAACCCUCGGAAAGGGCCUCUGCAAGCCACUGUCUGUCACAGCUCCUGUUGGGGGCCCCUCCUGCAUGGCUCCUUCUCUUCCCAGAUGCUGGUGACAGCUCCCUCUUCUUGUCCCCUCCAGGUGCAGGAGUGACAAGAGCUUCCCUCUGUCACUAGUUUCUGCUUCCCCACCUUUUGUUGCUUCCCCAACCCUGCUCAUGCCUGUGUGAAUAGUUCUUCUCUGACAUCCUCUUCAGUUAAACCUUUUUAUUGUUGUAUCUGAUCUCUAUUAGGACAGUGACCAUCCCAACCCCGCUGCCCCAGGGCCCUCAGGGUAAAAUCCAAACUUCUUAAUGCCCCGCCACCCUGGCCUCUCCUGCUAUUCUCCUCUGGUUCCCUAACUUCCAGUCUUCAAACUGUUUCCCAUUCGGGGCCCUUUGCAUCUGCUGUUCUCAGCCAGGAAUGUUCUUUCCCCGUAUGUUGGGCCAGCUGCCUUGUUCUCAUCAUUAUGGUGUUAGGUUGGAUGUCACCUCUUUAGAAAGUCCUUUCCAGGUCACUCUACGUAAGUAGCUCACCCGCCGCCCCCCCCCAGUUCUUUACCAUCUUAUUGCCCU